UACGAAGGGGGCAAGCGUUACUCGGAAUUACUGGGCGUAAAGCGUGCGUAGGUGGUGAGUUAAGUCUGAUGUGAAAUCCCCGGGCUCAACCUGGGAAUGGCAUUGGAUACUGGCUCGCUAGAGUGCGGUAGAGGGUGGUGGAAUUCCCGGUGUAGCAGUGAAAUGCGUAGAGAUCGGGAGGAACAUCUGUGGCGAAGGCGGCCACCUGGACCAACACUGACACUGAGGCACGAAAGCGUGGGGAGCAAACAGG
Molecule: ribosomal RNA, 253 nt
Filed under: uncultured bacterium
Lineage: Bacteria
Description: partial 16S ribosomal RNA
Rfam family: Bacterial small subunit ribosomal RNA
Source: RNAcentral